AUGGUUUUCCCUCCGUUUUCUUGUUAUGAGGUGAUUUCCGUGGAAGAGCAUUCCAGUUGCUUGUCAGUCGCACAGUUGCAAUCUAGGCGUCCACCGGAUCGGGCACCACCUGAUGCUAAAGCAUCGAAUGAAUUGGAAUUUCUCAAUGUGGAUAUCUCUGCAAGUUCAAGUGUUGAUGCAUGGUUCAGUCUACUGAGAAAAUGCAUAAGGAAACUCACAGUUUGCUGCGUUAUCUUCUGUGUGCAAUCCUCUUUGGAUUUCAUGCUCAAGAUGUACAGCCUAGGUUUGGGUUCAGUCCAAAAAAUGCUAAACUGA
Molecule: ribosomal RNA, 315 nt
Filed under: Triticum aestivum (bread wheat)
Lineage: Eukaryota; Viridiplantae; Streptophyta; Magnoliopsida; Poales; Poaceae
Description: partial small subunit ribosomal RNA
Source: RNAcentral